AUUGGCGGCAGUUCACCAGGUGCCGCAAGGUUAAAAGGGAAUCAGGUUAAAAUCCUGAGCGGUCCCGCCACUGUAAUCGGGGAUAAACUGUUAUGCCACUGGGAAACCGGGAAGGCGCAGCUAAAAUGAUCCGAGAGCCAGGAAACCUGCCUGUGAGUGAAGUACGAG
RNAcentral lists this non-coding RNA (168 nucleotides) under Tepidanaerobacter syntrophicus. The record is from RNAcentral. Lineage: Bacteria; Bacillati; Bacillota; Clostridia; Thermosediminibacterales; Tepidanaerobacteraceae.